Plectropomus leopardus (leopard coralgrouper) is the source of this 525-nucleotide long non-coding RNA. RefSeq lists it as uncharacterized. The record is from RefSeq and is a predicted model, not a curated record. Lineage: Eukaryota; Metazoa; Chordata; Actinopteri; Perciformes; Serranidae.
GUGUGAGCUCCUUCCUGCUUUACCUGCAGCAGAUCCCUGGGCUCCCUGCCACAAAUUGUUUGACAGAGUUAAAAAUGUGAAUUUCUGUCUACAUAUCAUGUAACCUUUAUUUUACUAGAAAGUCACAUUAAGAUUAAAACUUCUUUUGCAAGUGAGAGCCAAGACGGGUCAUAUGGCAGCAUUCAAACAAACAGGACAACAACAGCAAAUCACAGCAGUAACAACAGGUGUAAUGAUGGUGGAGGGACACGUGUCAAGAUGCAAACAGAUGCUUAAGGGCAGUUCUACAUCCAGCUAUGUUCUAGUUGUGAAUCUACACAGAGCUGUGUGCAUUUGGCCCCUGCUAAUUAAAACAGGCAUCUCAGGAGAGGCUCAUCUUUGACUACCUUCAGUGGAAGAAAAGAAAAGGUUCAAACUGUUGUGACAUUUUUAAGGUUGGAUCUGUGAUAUUGUUAAUGUUCCUACUGGCACAAGUCGAUCUCCUCAGCACAUGUGGGGAAUUUCCUUUCAGUGCAAUACUUAAGC